AUCUACAUUUUGUGCUUUUUGAUGUUCCUCUCCUGCUUAGAGACCUGAAAUUGAUUGAACUUCAAUUCGCAGCAAGAGCUUUGAUUACUAAGGUGUGUAUGCGUAGUUUAUGCUAGUAUAAAUCUUGAAGCUACAUGGUCUUAUUUCCUUGGUAGUAUCAUCAUACCGCCCGGGUUGGAGGCGUAGAAAUUUAUCCUUUAUGCAGAUUUCUUUCAAUGUAUCUGGAUAAAUAAGUCCUACUUAAUUUUAUUAUACGACAUUAAGUUCUCAAAAAAUAUCAUUAUAAUUUAUAAGAGAAAUUAGUUUUGCUUUGAAACGCCACGUUUUUUUUUACUUAUCACAAAAUAACCUUGGCCCCAUGAUUUUGAAAACUCGGUCGAAUUGAAAAUCGAUGACUUAAGUGGUUCGGUUUGUAAAGGAAAUCGUCCAAUUCUAAAAUUGGAAUUGAACCGGUGAAUCGGACGAGAAUCACCAUUACUUCUACUGCCACCAUUGGCUUUUGAGGAACUCAUUAGGCAUGAACUUGUGUCCUCUUGAAGUAUUCAGUUAGCUUUAAUCCACACAUGCUCCCCCCACCCCCACCAAAAACACUUUUCCUUCAACCCUUUGUCAAAAAGAAAUGAACUUUGAAACUCCAUUCAGCAUCACCACUUCUCUUUAGUAAGGUGCACAGAGAUAAAAAUUGCAGCCAAACAACACAAGAGGGAAGCAAAGAGGGAGAUCUCUCUCUCUCUCUCUCUCUCUCUCUCUCUCUCUCUCUCUCUCUCUCUCUCUCUCUCAUAAUUAUUAAGAGAAGCAAGGUCUCUCUCUCUCUCUCUCUCUCUCUCUCUCUCUCUCUCUUGUCAGGUGUAUUUGAAUUGUGAGAUCUUACCAUCCAUUUCUUGAUGUCUUUGAGUAGACUGGCAUUAGUGCAAAGGCUCAAAGGAAGGUUGCUAGAGAGAUUAAAACUGCUCGUGCUUUUGGCUUGAUGCCUUUUACAACAAUGGGUACAAAGGCAUUUAUUUCUGGGAGAACCAUGGAGAAUGUUGAUGAUGACUUUGCAUAUGAGACUUUUGGUAGAAAAAUGCAUGCCAAUCCUGCUAUGGAAGAUGACUACUCACGAGAGCGUAGAUAAAGAUGUGUGUUCUGUGGGGGUUCAGGUAGCUUGCAUCUAAUCUACAUUUUGUGCUUUUUGAUGUUCCUCUCCUGCUUAGAGACCUGAAAUUGAUUGAACUUCAAUUCGCAGCAAGAGCUUUGAUUACUAAGGUGUGUAUGCGUAGUUUAUGCUAGUAUAAAUCUUGAAGCUACAUGGUCUUAUUUCCUUGGUAGUAUCAUCAUACCGCCCGGGUUGGAGGCGUAGAAAUUUAUCCUUUAUGCAGAUUUCUUUCAAUGUAUCUGGAUAAAUAAGUCCUACUUAAUUUUAUUAUACGACAUUAAGUUCUCAAAAAAUAUCAUUAUAAUUUAUAAGAGAAAUUAGUUUUGCUUUGAAACGCC
RNAcentral lists this long non-coding RNA (1473 nucleotides) under Arachis ipaensis. Its description in RNAcentral is "long non-coding RNA (AIPA_LNC000831)". The record is from RNAcentral. Lineage: Eukaryota; Viridiplantae; Streptophyta; Magnoliopsida; Fabales; Fabaceae.